AGGGGAUAGCUUAGUGGUAGAGCAUGUGCUUAGUGUGUGCAGGGUCCUGGGUUCAAUCCCCUGUACCUCUA
This 71-nucleotide transfer RNA is filed under the name Camelus ferus (Wild Bactrian camel). It matches the Rfam family "tRNA". From Rfam's summary of the family: Transfer RNA (tRNA) molecules are approximately 80 nucleotides in length. The record is from Rfam by way of RNAcentral. Lineage: Eukaryota; Metazoa; Chordata; Mammalia; Artiodactyla; Camelidae.